CACGUAGGGUGCGAGCGUUGUCCGGAAUUAUUGGGCGUAAAGAGCUCGUAGGCGGUCUGUCGCGUCGGCUGUGAAAACCCGGGGCUCAACCCCGGGCCUGCAGUCGAUACGGGCAGACUAGAGUGCGGUAGGGGGAUGCGGAAUUCCGGGUGUAGUGGUGGAAUGCGUAGAGAUCCGGAGGAACACCAGCGGCGAAGGCGGCAUCCUGGACUGGUCCUGACACUCAGGAGCGAAAGCGUGGGGAGCGAUCCGG
This 253-nucleotide ribosomal RNA is filed under the name uncultured bacterium. Its description in RNAcentral is "partial 16S ribosomal RNA". It matches the Rfam family "Bacterial small subunit ribosomal RNA", at positions 524 to 776 of the family's 1533-position model. The record is from RNAcentral.